UAUGCAGUGUGGUUUUAAGGAGGCAGAGUGAUGGUUUUUAAAAUGCAAAUUCAAACGAGGACCAUUGCCUAAUAGCCCUCGGGCUAAUGUGCAUGAUAUAUGAUUCCUUCAGCUGUGAUUAUUAAACGAGCCGCAGACAGAUGAUUUUUUUCACACAGUCUAAACGCUGUGAUUGGAGAUACAAUCCUGAGAGUCGUCUCUUGUUAGUUACACCGCUCAGUAGAUUUAUUUAAGGUUGUCUCCGGCCUACGUGGUUGUAUAGUGUAUGAGCACACACGCGGAUGUUGUGGACCACAUCCUACUGCAAAUAUCUUCUCAUCUCCCGCUGUGUGUGUGUGUCACAAGCAGUGUGCGGUGCUUUGAAGAUGUCCUGUAGUUUAUUUAACAUGUUACAACACAACACUGACAUGUCACUGUCGUUAAUAUGCUAGCAUGACAAAUUAAUAAAGUAAAUAGUUGAAACAGUUGAAAAUAUCUGAACUUCAAGGCGUUCAUUAUCAGUUCAUUUAAAAAAGACCGACUCAUGCAGACAAAACCUAUUUAGUUUUGUUAAACUUAAAAACGACUAAAUUAGUAAAUUUUUCUGCCUCUGAUGUUCCCAUAUUUCCACACCAUCUGUGUCUCUUUCUCACGCUCUCUCUCCCUGUCUCCCCACACACGCAUGCGUCAAGCGCAAUAGCUCCCAACAAGACGAUUUCCAUCAUAUCUUCCUUUACAAACCCUGAAAUUAUCGUUAAAAAUGCCUGUUUUUGAUUAGGGAGAAAAAUCCCCCUCACCCCGACCUCACAGAACAAUGUAGCCCACAGCUGAGGACGCCCCCGACUUUUCCUUUUUUUUUAAGCGCCGAACGGAAGCCUGCAAAGAGAAAAAGCUCCUCAAAUCCUUACAAUCGGCAGACUGUGAUGUUCAUCAGCUUCCAUGAGGGCUACAUGCUCCUCCACUGAGACUGAGACCUGAGCCUCAAGACAUGCUGCAAAGCUCCACGAGUCAGAAUUUGCAUCCAGCAUCACGAAGAAAGAAAACAUUUGUUGGACAAAAAGUGGCUUGUACAAUCUGAGCUGGACUGUAGGUGCUGUAAAAUCAAAAACAGAGAUUACUCCAGUGUGAACUAAUGAAAAGAGUUGGUUAGAGAAUGGGGAAGCUUUUGAAGCCAGACACACUGAUUGAGAGGAGAAAAAUACAGUUCUAAAAAUCUGUAUCAGUCGAUGAUUAAUUAAUUUUGUUGAAUGAUCUGCUCUAGCCUUGUGAGAUAUCAGUUUCCAUUUCUUUUGCACUUUUAUGGAAGAUCUCAAGAGACUGCCGGUUCAAAAGACGGUUCAAUUUAGAGUCCCGAUGGGAAAUGGUUUCAGAAAGUCUUUUCCUUACGUUUGGCUUUGAUGUGUUUAAACUGUCGUAAUCUUACUGUUCGGAGAUGAGGAAAAUAAAUUCUGUUCAUUUCUCAAUUGUAA
This is a long non-coding RNA of Notolabrus celidotus (New Zealand spotty), 1448 nucleotides long. RefSeq lists it as uncharacterized. The transcript is spliced from 3 exons. The record is from RefSeq and is a predicted model, not a curated record. NCBI's taxonomy places the organism in Eukaryota, Metazoa, Chordata, Actinopteri, Labriformes, Labridae.